This 261-nucleotide ribosomal RNA is filed under the name uncultured archaeon. RNAcentral describes it as "partial 16S ribosomal RNA". It matches the Rfam family "Archaeal small subunit ribosomal RNA", at positions 748 to 1009 of the family's 1478-position model. The record is from RNAcentral.
UAGCCGUAAACGAUACUCGCUAGGUGUCGGCCACGGUGCGACCGUUGUCGGUGCCGUAGGGAAGCCGUGAAGCGAGCCACCUGGGAAGUACGGCCGCAAGGCUGAAACUUAAAGGAAUUGGCGGGGGAGCACAACAACGGGUGGAGCUUGCGGUUUAAUUGGAUUCAACGCCGGAAAUCUUACCCGGACCGACAGCAACAUGAAGGCCAAGCUGAAGACUUUGCCGGAUUAGCUGAGAGGUGGUGCAUGGCGUAGUCGUGU